RNAcentral lists this ribosomal RNA (468 nucleotides) under uncultured bacterium. Its description in RNAcentral is "partial 16S ribosomal RNA". It matches the Rfam family "Bacterial small subunit ribosomal RNA", at positions 28 to 507 of the family's 1533-position model. The record is from RNAcentral.
GACGAACGCUGGCGGCGUGCUUAACACAUGCAAGUCGAACGGAAAGGCCCUGCUUUUGUGGGGUGCUCGAGUGGCGAACGGGUGAGUAACACGUGAGUAACCUGCCCUUGACUUUGGGAUAACUUCAGGAAACUGGGGCUAAUACCGGAUAGGAGCUCCUGCUGCAUGGUGGGGGUUGGAAAGUUUCGGCGGUUGGGGAUGGACUCGCGGCUUAUCAGCUUGUUGGUGGGGUAGUGGCUUACCAAGGCUUUGACGGGUAGCCAGCCUGAGAGGGUGACCGGCCACAUUGGGCCUGAGAUACGGCCCAGACUCCUACGGGAGGCAGCAGUGGGGAAUAUUGCACAAUGGGCGGAAGCCUGAUGCAGCAACGCCGCGUGCGGGAUGACGGCCUUCGGGUUGUAGACCGCUUUCGCCUGUGACGAAGCGUGAGUGACGGUAAUGGGUAAAGAAGCACCGGCUAACUACGUG